GCUGGGCACAGUGGCAUAUACCUGUAAUCCCAGCCACUCAAGAGGCUGAGGCAGGAGGAUCACAAGUUCAAAACCAGCCUCAGCAAAAGUGAGGUGCUAAGCAACUCAGUGAGACCCUGUCUCUA
RNAcentral lists this small RNA (125 nucleotides) under Marmota monax (woodchuck). The record is from RNAcentral. Lineage: Eukaryota; Metazoa; Chordata; Mammalia; Rodentia; Sciuridae.